RNAcentral lists this ribosomal RNA (313 nucleotides) under uncultured Karlingiomyces. RNAcentral's name for it is "partial large subunit ribosomal RNA". It matches the Rfam family "Eukaryotic large subunit ribosomal RNA", at positions 40 to 350 of the family's 3401-position model. Lineage: Eukaryota; Fungi; Chytridiomycota; Chytridiomycetes; Polychytriales. The record is from RNAcentral.
AUAUUACUAAGCGGAGGAAAAGAAACUAACCAGGAUUCCCUCAGUAACGGCGAGUGAAGCGGGAAUAGCUCAAAUUUGAAAUCUUUCAGCUUCGCUGAACGAAUUGUAGUUUAUAGAGGCAUUUUCGGGAAUGACUGAGGUAUAAGUCCCUCUGACCAGGGCAUCAUAGAAGGUAAUAAUCCUGUUCAUGAUCUCAUGUCAAACCUAUGUGAUAUGUCCUCGAAGAGUCGGGUUGUUUGGGAAUGCAGCCCUAAAUGGGUGGUAAAUACCAUCUAAAGCUAAAUAUUGGUAGGAGACCGAUAGCGCACAAGUA